ACUCUUCUUGCCUCAGGGUGAUGCCUACCCUGGACACCUAACUGCCCCCUCUCCAUUCUAAAACCCCUUCUCACAAAGGAAGGAUAAACAGACUCACAUUCAAGUUGCAAUCACAGAUGUGACACGGUUUAAUGUAUAUCGUUCUCAGAGGCAUUCUAGGGGAAAGGAACAAGUCAAAAACUCCAGGUGGCAAUGUCUGCUCUGCCGCUUAUGAUCGUGAGACUAACCCAGCACGACAAACCCUGAGCCCAGUUUCUCACCAGUGUCCUUUAUGAGAAGAUGCCCUCACUGACCAGAUCAGUUCCCAAUGCUGGCAAGGCUGUAUGGAGGUCUAUUGCAGGUUACCAAUCUCACAGGAGUUUUUAGAAGAAUAAAUGAAGAAAUGAAAAUGAGACUAUUCUCAGCACAGUGGUCUAUAGAAAGUGCUGAAUUUAUGUUGAUUUACUCAACGAAGGACAAAACUUUAAAUUGUGAAAUUUUAUAUUUUUUGGGAUGCACUUGGAGGGCCUUUUUUUUUCCUACCUUUAAUCACAUUUUAUAGGUAGUUGCCAAUUCUGUUCUAUCUUUUCUUUUUUUCUACAGGGAAAACUGUACACUUGUCCUGAUCUUCACCAUGCUCUGAAAUGAACCUGUGUGAACCCAGCGUGACAGAAGCAGGGACCACAAAAGUCUAAGGAAUUCAUGUGUUAGGACUUCUUCCAGUUCUAUACAAUUCAUUUU
This 720-nucleotide long non-coding RNA is filed under the name Homo sapiens (human). RNAcentral's name for it is "HSALNT0293445". The record is from RNAcentral. Lineage: Eukaryota; Metazoa; Chordata; Mammalia; Primates; Hominidae.